UACGAAGGGUGCAAGCGUUAAUCGGAAUUACUGGGCGUAAAGCGCGCGUAGGUGGUUCAGCAAGUUGGAUGUGAAAGCCCUGGGCUCAACCUGGGAACUGCAUCCAAAACUACUGAGCUAGAGUACGGUAGAGGGUAGUGGAAUUUCCUGUGUAGCGGUGAAAUGCGUAGAUAUAGGAAGGAACACCAGUGGCGAAGGCGACUACCUGGACUGAUACCGUACGACUACGUAGGUAGGUCGG
Molecule: ribosomal RNA, 241 nt
Filed under: uncultured bacterium
Lineage: Bacteria
Description: partial 16S ribosomal RNA
Rfam family: Bacterial small subunit ribosomal RNA
Source: RNAcentral